CUUGAUGGAACCGAGCCACAGUGGACGGUUGUCGGCGCGCUCCUGGCCGUAGGUGGCCAGCAGGGCCUGCGCCUC
This 75-nucleotide antisense RNA is filed under the name Kutzneria viridogrisea DSM 43870. RNAcentral describes it as "Kutzneria albida DSM 43870 ASpks TB sRNA". It matches the Rfam family "ASpks TB sRNA". The record is from Rfam by way of RNAcentral. Lineage: Bacteria; Bacillati; Actinomycetota; Actinomycetes; Pseudonocardiales; Pseudonocardiaceae.